CGUACAGUCGCUACGGAGCACGAUAGGAAUCUCCAAUGCGAAUCGACGACACCGCGAGUAUAGGCUUCGGAUCGGUAACUCUGUUGUUAAGCAGACCAGUCUAGUGAUUAGCUGCACCUGCGUGCUUACAGAAAGUCACGGCUACUACGUUCAGCAGCCCGGUAAUCGUAGUGGCAGCGUUUUCGGAAUAUGGGCGUAAAGGGCCCGCAAGUGGUUUUCUUAAUUUUAAUGAAACCCCCGGCUCAACGGGAGGGUCAUUGAAACUGGGAACUUGARUUCAGAAGAGGGAAAGUGGAAUUCCUGUGUAGCGGGGGAAAGCGUAGAGAUUUGGAGGAACACCAGUGGCGGAGGCGACUUUUUGGUCUGUUACUUACCCUGAGGCGCGAAAACGUGGGGAACCAACAGGAUUAGAUUCCCUGGUAGUUCCCCCCGUUAACGAUGAAUUCUUAAUUUUAGAGGGUUUUCCCCCCUUAGUUUUGAAGUUAACGCAAUAAACCCUCCCCCUGGGGAGUUCGGUCGCAAGGCUGAAACUCAAAGGAAUUGACGGGGGCCCCCCCCAACGGUGGAACAUGUGGUUUAAUUUGAAACCACCCGAAGAACCUUUCCCGGUUUUGACAUUCUUUGACAACCCUAGAGAUAGGGCUUUUCCUUCGGGAACAGAGUGACAGGUGGUGCAUGGUUGUCGUCAACUUGUGUCGUGAAAUGUUGGGUUUAGUUCCCCCACGAACCCCACCCCUGAUUUUAAUUUCCCUCCUUUAAUUGGGCCCUUUAAGGUGACUUCCGGUGACCAACCGGAGGAAGGUGGGGAUGACGUCAAAUCCUCAUUCCCCUUAUGACCUGGGCUUCCCCCGUUCUUCCAUGGGCGGUUCAAAAAACUGCCAAGCCCCGAGGUGGAACUUAUUUCAUAAAACCCUUUUCAAUUUGGAUUGUAGGSUGCAACUCGCCUUCCUGAAACUGGAAUCCCUAGUUAUCGCGGAUCAACCUUCCCCGGUGAAUUCCUUUCCCGGCCUUGUUCCCCCCCCCCGUCCCCCCCCGARAAUUUGUAACCCCCGAAAUCCGUGGGGGUACCUUUUUGGAGCCAGCCGC
RNAcentral lists this ribosomal RNA (1086 nucleotides) under Bacillus cereus. Its description in RNAcentral is "partial 16S ribosomal RNA". It matches the Rfam family "Bacterial small subunit ribosomal RNA", at positions 345 to 1456 of the family's 1533-position model. The record is from RNAcentral. Lineage: Bacteria; Bacillati; Bacillota; Bacilli; Caryophanales; Bacillaceae.